AACGAACGCUGGCGGCAUGCCUAACACAUGCAAGUCGAACGAGACCUUCGGGUCUAGUGGCGCACGGGUGCGUAACGCGUGGAACCUGCCCUUAGGUUCGGAAUAACUCCCCGAAAGGGGUGCUAAUACCGGAUAAUGUCUUCGGACCAAAGAUUUAUCGCCUUUGGAUGGGCCCGCGUUGGAUUAGCUAGUUGGUAGGGUAAAAGCCUACCAAGGCGACGAUCCAUAGCUGGUCUGAGAGGAUGAUCAGCCACACUGGGACUGAGACACGGCCCAGACUCCUACGGGAGGCAGCAGUGGGGAAUAUUGGACAAUGGGCGAAAGCCUGAUCCAGCAAUGCCGCGUGAGUGAUGAAGGCCUUAGGGUUGUAAAGCUCUUUUACCCGGGAUGAUAAUGACAGUACCGGGAGAAUAAGCUCCGGCUAACUCCGU
RNAcentral lists this ribosomal RNA (431 nucleotides) under uncultured bacterium. RNAcentral describes it as "partial 16S ribosomal RNA". It matches the Rfam family "Bacterial small subunit ribosomal RNA", at positions 29 to 506 of the family's 1533-position model. The record is from RNAcentral.